Molecule: ribosomal RNA, 253 nt
Filed under: uncultured bacterium
Lineage: Bacteria
Description: partial 16S ribosomal RNA
Rfam family: Bacterial small subunit ribosomal RNA
Source: RNAcentral
UACGGGGGGGGCAAGCGUUGUUCGGAAUUACUGGGCGUAAAGGGCUCGUAGGCGGCCAACUAAGUCAGACGUGAAAUCCCUCGGCUUAACCGGGGAACUGCGUCUGAUACUGGAUGGCUUGAGUUUGGGAGAGGGAUGCGGAAUUCCAGGUGUAGCGGUGAAAUGCGUAGAUAUCUGGAGGAACACCGGUGGCGAAGGCGGCAUCCUGGACCAACACUGACGCUGAGGAGCGAAAGCCAGGGAAGCAAACGGG